Molecule: ribosomal RNA, 253 nt
Filed under: uncultured bacterium
Lineage: Bacteria
Description: partial 16S ribosomal RNA
Rfam family: Bacterial small subunit ribosomal RNA
Source: RNAcentral
UACGAAGGGGGCUAGCGUUGCUCGGAAUCACUGGGCGUAAAGCGCACGUAGGCGGAUUGUUAAGUCAGGGGUGAAAUCCUGGAGCUCAACUCUAGAACUGCCUUUGAUACUGGCGAUCUUGAGUCCGGGAGAGGUGAGUGGAACUGCGAGUGUAGAGGUGAAAUUCGUAGAUAUUCGCAAGAACACCAGUGGCGAAGGCGGCUCACUGGCCCGGUACUGACGCUGAGGUGCGAAAGCGUGGGGAGCAAACAGG